Molecule: ribosomal RNA, 438 nt
Filed under: uncultured bacterium
Lineage: Bacteria
Description: bacterial SSU rRNA
Rfam family: Bacterial small subunit ribosomal RNA
Source: RNAcentral
GCACAACGCGAAGAACCUUACCUACUCUUGACAUCCAGAGAACUUAGCAGAGAUGCUUUGGUGCCUUCGGGAACUCUGAGACAGGUGCUGCAUGGCUGUCGUCAGCUCGUGUUGUGAAAUGUUGGGUUAAGUCCCGCAACGAGCGCAACCCUUAUCCUUUGUUGCCAGCGGUUCGGCCGGGAACUCAAAGGAGACUGCCAGUAAUAAACUGGAGGAAGGUGGGGAUGACGUCAAGUCAUCAUGGCCCUUACGAGUAGGGCUACACACGUGCUACAAUGGCGUAUACAAAGAGAAGCGACCUCGCGAGAGCAAGCGGACCUCAUAAAGUACGUCGUAGUCCGGAUUGGAGUCUGCAACUCGACUCCAUGAAGUCGGAAUCGCUAGUAAUCGUAGAUCAGAAUGCUACGGUGAAUACGUUCCCGGGUCUUGUACACACCG